Long non-coding RNA from Trifolium pratense (red clover), 551 nucleotides. RefSeq lists it as uncharacterized. The record is from RefSeq and is a predicted model, not a curated record. Lineage: Eukaryota; Viridiplantae; Streptophyta; Magnoliopsida; Fabales; Fabaceae. The transcript has 2 exons.
GUAAUUUCUCACUCCUCGUAACUCCGUUUGAAAUGCCGCUUGAUUCUGUGGUAAGCUAACGAAAUUCCGGUCGAUUCGACGCCAGUUUCAUGGAUUUCUAAGCAGUAAUGAAUUCGGAAGAAGCAUUUGAAGUUCGAGGUCUGAUGCAGAACUUUGGGCUACGGGUUUAGAGUGUUGUGGCUGCAAAUUCUGUUUUUCAACUAGCUCCGAAUAUGUUGUUAGCACGAUUCAAACGUCAUGUUCAGGUAACAGGUUGAGCAUGAUAAAUGGAUUUUCAAGAGGAUUGAAGUAAAGACGCUGUUUAUGGAAACUUCGUAGCAUUCACCUGUUAAAUUAUUAUAGAAGAUGAUUCAAGGCUUGAUCCUGAUUGUUAUGCAUUCUAUUUCGCUCUGAUGUAUAAUAUAUUAUAGGUUGUACAUUAUGACAGUUUAUUCAGGAUUUUGUCAAGAUUAUGUAUUGUCUGGCAAAUUAUCUUGUAAUUGUACUAUGUCGGACAAAAGUUAUUCUGUAAUUUUAAUGUUUCCCGAUUCAGUUAUGUAUGCUCCUAUUGA